Molecule: non-coding RNA, 46 nt
Organism: Oesophagostomum dentatum (nodular worm)
Lineage: Eukaryota; Metazoa; Nematoda; Chromadorea; Rhabditida; Strongylidae
Source: Rfam
CCAACGGCCCUCUUUAGGGCCACAAAUAAGUAGCGAAUACUUUCAU